Molecule: ribosomal RNA, 811 nt
Filed under: Rummeliibacillus pycnus
Lineage: Bacteria; Bacillati; Bacillota; Bacilli; Caryophanales; Caryophanaceae
Description: bacterial SSU rRNA
Rfam family: Bacterial small subunit ribosomal RNA
Source: RNAcentral
GAUGAGGAGCUUGCUCCUCUGAUUUAGCGGCGGACGGGUGAGUAACACGUGGGCAACCUGCCCUGUAGACUGGGAUAACUUCGGGAAACCGGAGCUAAUACCGGAUAAUCCAUUUCACCUCAUGGUGAAAUGUUGAAAGACGCCAUCAAGCGUCACUACAGGAUGGGCCCGCGGUGCAUUAGCUAGUUGGUGGGGUAACGGCCUACCAAGGCAACGAUGCAUAGCCGACCUGAGAGGGUGAUCGGCCACAUUGGGACUGAGACACGGCCCAAACUCCUACGGGAGGCAGCAGUAGGGAAUCUUCCACAAUGGACGAAAGUCUGAUGGAGCAACGCCGCGUGAGUGAUGAAGGUUUUCGGAUCGUAAAACUCUGUUGUAAGGGAAGAACAAGUACGUUAGGAAAUGAACGUACCUUGACGGUACCUUAUUAGAAAGCCACGGCUAACUACGUGCCAGCAGCCGCGGUAAUACGUAGGUGGCAAGCGUUGUCCGGAUUUAUUGGGCGUAAAGCGCGCGCAGGUGGUUUCUUAAGUCUGAUGUGAAAGCCCACGGCUCAACCGUGGAGGGUCAUUGGAAACUGGGAGACUUGAGUGCAGAAGAGGAUAGUGGAAUUCCAAGUGUAGCGGUGAAAUGCGUAGAGAUUUGGAGGAACACCAGUGGCGAAGGCGACUGUCUGGUCUGUAACUGACACUGAGGCGCGAAAGCGUGGGGAGCAAACAGGAUUAGAUACCCUGGUAGUCCACGCCGUAAACGAUGAGUGCUAAGUGGUUAGGGGGUUUCCGCCCCUUAGUGCUGCAGCUAACGCAUUAAG